RNAcentral lists this ribosomal RNA (497 nucleotides) under uncultured bacterium. RNAcentral describes it as "partial 16S ribosomal RNA". It matches the Rfam family "Bacterial small subunit ribosomal RNA", at positions 28 to 507 of the family's 1533-position model. The record is from RNAcentral.
GAUGAACGCUGGCGGCGUGCCUAAUACAUGCAAGUCGAGCGAACGGGCGAUAAUCUUGCUUCGCUGAUGUUAGCGGCGGACGUGUGAGUAACACGUGUAUAACCUACCUGUAAUACUGGUAUAACUUCGGGAAACCGGAUCUAAUAGCGUAGGAGAUUUUGAACCACAUUGUUCAUAAGUGAAUUACGGUGUUUCUGUCUCUUAUAGAGGGAUCCGCGCUGCAUUAGCUAGUUGUUAAGGUAACGGCUUACCAAGGCAACUAUGCAUAGCCGACCGAAGAGGCGGGUAGGCGACCUUGGAACGGAGCCACGGACAAGACUCCUACGGGAGGCAGCAGUAGGCAACCUGACGCAACAGGCGAAAGCAUGACGCAGCAACGCCGAGUGAGUGACAAAGGCCUUCGGAUCGUAAAAACGGCCUACUAGGGAAAAACCUCUGUCUAAGUAAAUGUACACAUAUUGACGGUAACGAAUAAGAAAGCAACGGCUAACUACGUG